This 255-nucleotide ribosomal RNA is filed under the name Pireneitega sp. ZZ696. Its description in RNAcentral is "partial 12S ribosomal RNA". The record is from RNAcentral. Lineage: Eukaryota; Metazoa; Arthropoda; Arachnida; Araneae; Agelenidae.
AUCGAUAACCCACGUUNNNUUUUCCUUUAAUCUAAAAUUUAUAUACCGCCAUCUUAAGAGUCAAUUUAAAAAUAUUCCUCCCAAUAAUUAAUAAAAAGUUAGGUCAAGGUGUAAUCUAUAUUAAAGAAUCAGAUGAAUUACAUUAAAUAAUAUUUAAGGCUUAUUUAUAUAAAUAUAAAUACAAAUAAGGAUUUAAAAGUAAUACAUAAACAAUAAUUAUAUAUGAUAAAGAUAAUAAAUGUGCACACAUCGCCC